RNAcentral lists this ribosomal RNA (501 nucleotides) under uncultured bacterium. RNAcentral describes it as "partial 16S ribosomal RNA". It matches the Rfam family "Bacterial small subunit ribosomal RNA", at positions 28 to 507 of the family's 1533-position model. The record is from RNAcentral.
GACGAACGCUGGCGGCGUGCCUAAUACAUGCAAGUCGAACGAACCGCGACUGAGUGCUUGCACUUGGUCAAGGUGAGUGGCGAACGGGUGAGAACACGUGGGUAACCUACCUCAUAGUGGGGGAUAACAGUCGGAAACGACUGCUAAUACCGCAUAGGACAUAGGAUCACAUGAUCCAGUGAGGAAAGGUGGCGCAAGCUAUCGCUAAGAGAUGGACCCGCGGUGCAUUAGCUAGUUGGUAGGGUAAAGGCCUACCAAGGCGAUGAUGCAUAGCCGACCUGAGAGGGUGAUCGGCCACAUUGGGACUGAGACACGGCCCAAACUCCUACGGGAGGCAGCAGUAGGGAAUCUUCCGCAAUGGACGCAAGUCUGACGGAGCAACGCCGCGUGAGUGAAGAAGGUCUUCGGAUCGUAAAGCUCUGUUGUUAGAGAAGAACAGCGCAUAGAGUAACUGCUAUGCGUGUGACGGUAGCUAACCAGAAAGCCACGGCUAACUACGUG